Molecule: ribosomal RNA, 268 nt
Filed under: uncultured Eubacteriales bacterium
Lineage: Bacteria; Bacillati; Bacillota; Clostridia; Eubacteriales
Description: uncultured Clostridiales bacterium partial 16S ribosomal RNA
Rfam family: Bacterial small subunit ribosomal RNA
Source: RNAcentral
AGAGAGAGCUUGCUUUCUCGAGCGAGUGGCGAACGGGUGAGUAACGCGUGAGGAACCUGCCUCAAAGAGGGGGACAACAGUUGGAAACGACUGCUAAUACCGCAUAAGCGCACAGCUUCGCAUGAAGCAGUGUGAAAAACUCCGGUGGUGUGAGAUGGACCCGCGUCUGAUUAGCUGGUUGGUGAGGUAACGGCCCACCAAGGCAACGAUCAGUAGGGGUUCUGAGAGGAAGGUCCCCACAUUGGAACUGAGACACGGUCCAAACUCC